This 432-nucleotide ribosomal RNA is filed under the name uncultured bacterium. Its description in RNAcentral is "partial 16S ribosomal RNA". It matches the Rfam family "Bacterial small subunit ribosomal RNA", at positions 29 to 507 of the family's 1533-position model. The record is from RNAcentral.
ACGAACGCUGGCGGCAUGCCUAACACCUGCAAGUCGCACGCGACCUUCGGGUCUAGUGGCGCACGGGUGCGUAACGCGUGGGAACCUGCCCUUAGGUUCGGAAUAACUCCCCGAAAGGGGUGCUAAUACCGGAUAAUGUCUUCGGACCAAAGAUUUAUCGCCUUUGGAUGGGCCCGCGUUGGAUUAGCUAGUUGGUAGGGUAAAAGCCUACCAAGGCGACGAUCCAUAGCUGGUCUGAGAGGAUGAUCAGCCACACUGGGACUGAGACACGGCCCAGACUCCUACGGGAGGCAGCAGUGGGGAAUAUUGGACAAUGGGCGAAAGCCUGAUCCAGCAAUGCCGCGUGAGUGAUGAAGGCCUUAGGGUUGUAAAGCUCUUUUACCCGGGAUGAUAAUGACAGUACCGGGAGAAUAAGCUCCGGCUAACUACGUG